RNAcentral lists this non-coding RNA (38 nucleotides) under Mycobacterium sp. 155. RNAcentral's name for it is "L31-Actinobacteria ribosomal protein leader". It matches the Rfam family "L31-Actinobacteria ribosomal protein leader". Lineage: Bacteria; Bacillati; Actinomycetota; Actinomycetes; Mycobacteriales; Mycobacteriaceae. The record is from RNAcentral.
UCGGUCCCGGUUCACGUCCAUCUUGGGCGACCCGGGCC